UAGCAUCAGAUGUGCCAGGACAGCGGAU
This 28-nucleotide non-coding RNA is filed under the name Mus musculus (house mouse). Lineage: Eukaryota; Metazoa; Chordata; Mammalia; Rodentia; Muridae. The record is from RNAcentral.